UGAAACCCUGAUCUGAUUAAAAGAAAACGAGAACUAACCCGCGCGUGGCAAAUACAAAUUCUUGGAAAGGUGAAAUAAUGAAGCAUUCCUAGGUUUGUUAGUAAAUUAUAGAAUUUGAUUUCUUUGUUGUUGAUCACAUGUUAGUUGUUUGUGUAUAAUUUUUUUGUAUUUUUUUUUUUAUAUAUUUGGGCUUGAUUUUAUUUUCCCCUUUUUUAUUUUUGUUUACUGUUUGGCUGCUUUGAAACCUGAGCUGAAGAAAGGAGAGGAAAAACUGAAACUUUUUGAAAGCCCCAGCCCCCCUCCCCACCCCACCGCACCACACUCCGCUCGUAAAAAGCCUUUAUGAUAUUGAGUUUUGGAUUUUCAAACCCAAGCCCAUUAUGAGUUUUUUUUUUUCUUUUCAUUUUUAAUCACUUUUUGCAAGUUGCAUAUGGAAACAUUGAACAGGACAAAUGGGUUUUUUUCUCAACUGGAACAACAGCUCACAUUUUCAUUCUGACCCUUUCUUACCUUGUCAUUACCAUAUUUCCCUAGUUGAUAUUUCAAAAUAAUUUGCUUAAUGUUCCAGGGUUGCAGAUAACAUUUUUGCUUUUCUAAUAAAUCAAACGACUGAAAUUUUUUCCUCUCUAGAAAUAUGGGAUGGCAGGUGUUUCCAACAGUUUUGUCCGGCCCAAUGAGAACUAUUGCUUCUGUAGUUGUCACCAUUUGGAGCUACCUUUUUUUUAUGCAUUUGUUUUUUUAAAUUUUUUGAUAGGCAAACAAAAAAACCAUGUAUUGAUUAAAAAAA
Molecule: long non-coding RNA, 787 nt
Filed under: Vitis vinifera (wine grape)
Lineage: Eukaryota; Viridiplantae; Streptophyta; Magnoliopsida; Vitales; Vitaceae
Description: long non-coding RNA (VVIN_LNC003275)
Source: RNAcentral